AGGAAGCCUUAAUGAAUAUCAUAGAAAAAAUGGUCAAAAAGAAAAGGAAAUUUCCAUAGCCGCAAAGCUUGUUUGCAUAUGUGCAAUCAAAGUUAUUUGACAAUUCUUUUUUCAUUGUGUUAAUUCUAGGUAACCAUGAUGAGUACUUGAAGAGUGAUGGAAACAAGAUGAGCUUUAUCUCUUGGCAACCCAGAAACAGCUUAUGCACAUCCAAAAACUAACCAUAGUCAGUCCUUUGCUAUUUCGUAUCCGUAUGCUGAUUCAUACUAUGGUGGUCCAUUGCAGCUUAUGGGCAGCAUGCUAUUGUAAGUGAUUUUUAUGCGUCCAGCAUGUUAUCUCAUUAGUUUCUCCUACUUCAUGGUCUAGAUGUCCUUUAUCCACUUUGCUAUCCAGUGUUGUUCGCUACCUUCUUUGGUCCAAAUAAUAGGAUGUUUUCUGUACAUGUAGGUGUGCCUUGAGUAUUAUUACUGGUUAACUUUCAAUUGAUUUGCCCUUGUAUUCACCUGUGAAAAUUUACCGUGUUACUGAAGCAUUCAUGUA
Long non-coding RNA from Panicum virgatum (switchgrass), 540 nucleotides. RefSeq lists it as uncharacterized. Lineage: Eukaryota; Viridiplantae; Streptophyta; Magnoliopsida; Poales; Poaceae. The record is from RefSeq and is a predicted model, not a curated record. The transcript is spliced from 2 exons.